AAGGGGGAUUCCACUCAUGAAACUGGUAUUUUUCCCAUAUAUAUUACACUCUUCGGAAUACAAAUGCACCCGACUUUUGACUAAAUCACCACGACUGACUUUUCGACCAAACACUGCUCUAAACCUAUGAACCCCCAUACGGGACCGCUUCCAAUUCUCGGCUUUGACCUGACGUCACGGGUUUUCCAAAUAUGGGCAUCCGCACAGAUCAAAACACGAAGCAGACGACAAAGUGUCAUGGCGGACUCAGGCGGCCGUGGCUCAGACUAGUUCGACCCAGACUACAUUAUGCCAUACGCAUAUGAGCCUGAACGUGAUUCUGGAGAGUCGGAGAGUAGCGAUGAGAACAAUCAGCCUGCAGAAGCCUUUGCUGGGACCGCCACGCAACCAGAGGCGGCAUGAGACGGCCGGGAUUACGAGACGGAGGGUUGCAUGCAUGCUAGCGCCAAGAAGCAUAUGGUGCAGAUGCGAUGACUACAACUGCAGCCUACAGUGUGUGAGUGUAUGUGUUGUCACGACCUUCGUGAGCUGACAGAUCCCGUGGACCACAUCAACCCCGAUCGCAGCGGUAUGGGCGUCGGGAGCGGCCGUAGCCAGCUGAAAUGCGUCAAGCUACACGAGGAAUUCCAUCCCGUUUCAUGAGGUCUUCACUGAAAACUGCACUUAUAUUAUCUACAGUGACAAAAUGACUUGGACUGGAAGAUGUCAGGGAGCCAUUGAGAAAUAGAAUCUUACAACUGUCAGCGUACAGACAGUUUUCGUGCUGGGUCCACAAGAAUCAUCUUGGGAGAUCAGUGUGGCGCGUGGUUCCAGCCUGUGCAGUCACCAAAAUAAGACAGACUUAUCCCUCUAAAGAUGAGACUAAUUACAUAGGACAUUUUCCUGUUAAGAUAUUUCGCCACCACAUGUUCAAUUGCUAAAUUGAUCUGACGUUAAACCAGGGAGUGAUCCAUAAAUCUGUAUUCUACUAACUUUUUACUGUUAGGGUUAUCCAUUCUUGUUAAGCUUGGGGUUAGAAUUAGAAUUAGGGUGAGGCUUUACUGCUAAAAUAAAACAAUCUUGAUAACAGUGUUACACAGUUUCCACAUUAUUUGCACUAUAA
Molecule: long non-coding RNA, 1102 nt
Organism: Branchiostoma floridae (Florida lancelet)
Lineage: Eukaryota; Metazoa; Chordata; Leptocardii; Amphioxiformes; Branchiostomatidae
Exons: 2
Source: RefSeq, a predicted model, not a curated record